UAAGGAAUAUUGGUCAAUGGACGAAAGUCUGAACCAGCCAUGCCGCGUGAAGGAUGAAGGCCCUCUGGGUUGUAAACUUCUUUUAUAUGGGACGAAAAAAGGGGAUUCUUCCUCACUUGACGGUACCAUAGGAAUAAGCACCGGCUAACUCCGUGCCAGCAGCCGCGGUAAUACGGAGGGUGCAAGCGUUAUCCGGAUUUACUGGGUUUAAAGGGUGCGUAGGUGGGCAUUUAAGUCAGUGGUGAAAUCUUCGAGCUUAACUCGGAAACUGCCAUUGAUACUACUUGUCUUGAAUAUCCUGGAGGUAAGCGGAAUAUGUCAUGUAGCGGUGAAAUGCUUAGAUAUGACAUAGAACACCCAUUGCGAAGGCAGCUUACUACGGGAUUAUUGACACUGAGGCACGAAAGCGUGGGGAUCAAACAGG
Molecule: ribosomal RNA, 424 nt
Filed under: Microvirga ossetica
Lineage: Bacteria; Pseudomonadati; Pseudomonadota; Alphaproteobacteria; Hyphomicrobiales; Methylobacteriaceae
Also listed under: 1 other name
Description: partial 16S ribosomal RNA
Rfam family: Bacterial small subunit ribosomal RNA
Source: RNAcentral